CAUUUCUCUUGUUUAAUUUCUCUCCAAUUCCCUUGCACAAUUAAGGAUCCAAACAAAGGGUUAAAGAGUUCUAUUAGGUUUAGUAUUUUCCUAGUUUGUGCUGUUUUUAUAUCCUUAAUUGCUUAGAUUGGUUUAGUUUUUUAAUUUUAGGAUUUCUAGUCCUAAUAGUAGUAGAUCAAUAUUAUACUAGGUAUUUUAUUAGAGAGACUUUAUUAUUGACAAUUUGACAAUUGAUAUUGAGAAUUAAUAGAAAUUUGAAAAUUUGUUUCUCAUCCUCUUUGAGUGUUCUUCUUGUUCAAUAUCAAAUUGGUUUCAGAGGCCAGUUAUAGUUAGGUCAACUUGCAUUUUGAUCCUGUUGGAGUGGCUGAAUAGGUUUAGAGGUUACUACUGUCAUGAUCUCCCAAUUCCCGGAAAUUCUUUUGUGGCCUGAAUGUGUUAUGGUUCUCUCAUAUGGAGGAGAACAUCAGAAACUCCUGUCUGUGGCUAGGUCAUAGGUUUUCCUGCUAAACUGAUACUAGGAUAAUAUGAAUUAAGAAAGGAAUAAAUACAUGUGGCUGACUCAGAUUUCAUUGACUUCUAUUCUUGGAUAAGAUAUGUUUAUGAUCUAGCUUGUAGCUGAACCCCUUUCUCCCAUUUCCACACGGUCAGAUAACUCAGAUUCCUAGAAUUGGAGAAAUAAAUUUUAUAACCUUUCUUCCUUCUAAAUUAUGAGAUAUAAUUAUGUGUGAUUACUAUGUGCAUAAGAUGGAUUGAUGGCUCAGGAAGUGUAAGCUAAGGACUGAAAUUAAGAGAGAACUAUGUGCCUAAUGAUUUCUCUAUAGCCUUUAAUUGUCCAGUUGUGCUGCUCUAUAUGUCAGCGAUUAAUAUUAAAUAGAAGGAUGUCUAGAUGGAUUUUAAUUUUGUACAGAUCAAUAUCUGCUUUGUCUGGACCCAUAACUUAUGCAAAUCAUAAAGUGUGGCCGUAUAACAUCUAAAAUGAUUGAAUUGAUAACUUACCAUCUUUGGGUGAAGUAUUAUAAUUUGGGCUUUCUGACAAAGGAAUUUGUUGAUGGUUUAUGGAAGAUAGAAGAUGAAACUUGGAAUUUUAUAUGGACAUCAUUUUCUGGUAAUCCAUUAAGACAGUCUGGAGGACAUCUCUGAGCUUUCGAGGCUCUCUGUGAACUGCAUUUUCUAUGGUUUGUUACUUUUGAUAUGAUCAGAUGAAUUCCUCUUGUGAUAAACUGUGGAUGAAGCCAUACAAGUUUCAAUAAAAAAUGGCUGGAUAAACAUGGUAGAUCUUUUGAUUCUGAUUGAAUGUGUAGGUUAGUGAGCACUGAGCAGUCAGACCUACUUCUUGGAGAAGUGAGCGUGGCUACUGGAAUAUUAAAGAACAUAGGUUUCUGUGGUAAAUGUAUUGGUUGGUUUCAUUUCAUUUAUAUUUUGCUUUAUUGUUCAGGUGAACUCCUUGUCUUCCUUGUGUUUUUAAUUAUUUUCUCUUACUAAAAAGGCAAGAAGAAAAUCAUACACGCAACUGUGUGGAGUUAUAUGGUUUUGCAAAAGCUGAAGCAUCUGCUAACCUUGAGCAUGCUAUCUUACUGAAAGAAUAUACCAUUUGUUUAUUCUAUCAAUGACUUACCUGAAUGAUAAUGUCUGGAUAUGCAGGAAAAUGCUGUACCUGAAAAGAAAGUCAUCGUAGCUGUAAAGCAAGGGAAUUUGCUAGGGACUGCCUUCCAUCCUGAACUGACAUCAGAUACUCGAUGGCAUAGUUACUUCUUGAAAAUGGGAAGUGAGGCUCAAGAAGAAUCUCCAAGCAGCAUUGUCCCAGUUGGAGGAGUAGAUCCAAGCUUCAACGAAAAAGCAAGGAUUGAUCUUCCUAUCUAUCAAUAGUAGCAAUGAGAUACAAAUAUGAGCAUCUUUAUCAUCUUUUUAAUUGGUAUUUUCCUUUUGAAGACGCAGAAAGAAAUUGAUUUUCCUUUUGCCUAAAGUUAAUUGUUACUUUGAUAUCAGGUAUGUGUUGGAGGUCAGUCUAUUCUCUUAGGUUGAAAGUUGAGAUUACAAAUCAGAUGAUAGAUACACAUUCAUGCAUCCCACCUGUAAAUAUAAUGUUCAAAUGAAGUAAGCUUUUCUAUUUAUAGAAAUAUGUGGUAUAUGGUUUCAAAUUCAAUAUUUGGGAUUGGAAUAAACACAGGUGCAUGCAUGCUUAUGUAAUGUUACAUUUGUAAAAUUUGAGCAGACACACCUGAAAAUUUCAUUAUGGAUUCAGGAAUGAGUGUUUAGAUCUAAUGACUGAUGCUGUAUCAAGGUAUAAGAUUAUCAUUCAAGUGCGACUCAUGUUAUUUCUUUAUCUUCUGAUGGAAUUUGGAUUAUUAUGAACCCUUUUUUUGUGUCGAUUGCUGUGCUUGGAAAAUGAUUUUGUUGUGCGGGGAUCGAACCGUGUGUAUAACAGGAAACUGUAAGC
Molecule: unclassified non-coding RNA, 2437 nt
Filed under: Hevea brasiliensis (rubber tree)
Lineage: Eukaryota; Viridiplantae; Streptophyta; Magnoliopsida; Malpighiales; Euphorbiaceae
Source: RNAcentral